This 76-nucleotide small RNA is filed under the name Flavobacterium noncentrifugens. Its description in RNAcentral is "Flavo-1 RNA". It matches the Rfam family "Flavo-1 RNA". Lineage: Bacteria; Pseudomonadati; Bacteroidota; Flavobacteriia; Flavobacteriales; Flavobacteriaceae. The record is from Rfam by way of RNAcentral.
CCCUAGCCCUGAUUGUAGCGUUAUCCUUUUGUGUAGCAAAGCGGAACAAAAGAUAUAGUGGAAAGCAGGAUAAAGC